ACACGACUACAUUAGAUACCCCUGUAGUCCUAGCCGUAAACGAUACUCGCUAGGUGUCGGCCACGGUGCGACCGUUGUCGGUGCCGUAGGGAAGCCGUGAAGCGAGCCACCUGGGAAGUACGGCCGCAAGGCUGAAACUUAAAGGAAUUGGCGGGGAGCACAACAACGGGUGGAGCUUGCGGUUUAAUUGGACUCAACGCCGGAAAACUCAUCGGGAGCGACAGCAGUAUGAUUGCCAGGUUGAUGACCUUGCUUGACGAGCUG
RNAcentral lists this ribosomal RNA (264 nucleotides) under uncultured archaeon. RNAcentral's name for it is "partial 16S ribosomal RNA". It matches the Rfam family "Archaeal small subunit ribosomal RNA", at positions 717 to 982 of the family's 1478-position model. The record is from RNAcentral.